CGCGUUGUGUGAAGAAGGCCUUCGGGUUGUAAAGCACUUUCAGCUGUGAGGAAAGGCGAGUGGUUAAUACCCGCUUGCUGUGACGUUAACAGCAGAAGAAGGACCGGCUAACUCCGUGCCAGCAGCCGCGGUAAUACGGAGGGUCCGAGCGUUAAUCGGAAUUACUGGGCGUAAAGCGCGCGUAGGUGGUUCAGUCAGUCAGAUGUGAAAGCCCCGGGCUCAACCUGGGAACUGCACCUGAUACUGCUGAGCUAGAGUACGGUAGAGGGUAGUGGAAUUUCCGGUGUAGCGGUGAAAUGCGUAGAGAUCGGAAGGAACACCAGUGGCGAAGGCGACUACCUGGACCGAUACUGACACUGAGGUGCGAAAGCGUGGGUAGCAAACAGGAUUAGAUACCCUGGUAGUCCACGCCGUAAACGAUGUCAACUA
Molecule: ribosomal RNA, 429 nt
Filed under: uncultured Marinobacterium sp.
Lineage: Bacteria; Pseudomonadati; Pseudomonadota; Gammaproteobacteria; Oceanospirillales; Oceanospirillaceae
Description: bacterial SSU rRNA
Rfam family: Bacterial small subunit ribosomal RNA
Source: RNAcentral